This is an unclassified non-coding RNA of Pongo abelii (Sumatran orangutan), 148 nucleotides long. It matches the Rfam family "Metazoan signal recognition particle RNA". From Rfam's summary of the family: The signal recognition particle (SRP) is a universally conserved ribonucleoprotein. It is involved in the co-translational targeting of proteins to membranes. The eukaryotic SRP consists of a 300-nucleotide 7S RNA and six proteins: SRPs 72, 68, 54, 19, 14, and 9. NCBI's taxonomy places the organism in Eukaryota, Metazoa, Chordata, Mammalia, Primates, Hominidae. The record is from Ensembl.
GCUGGGCGUGGUUGUGCACGCCUGUAAUCCCAGCUACUCAGGAGGCUGAGGCAGGAGAAUCACUUGAACCCAGGAGGUGGGGGUUGUGGUGAGCCGAGAUCGCACCACUGUACUCCAGCAUGGGUGACAGAGCGAGACUCUGUCUCAA